Molecule: long non-coding RNA, 2609 nt
Organism: Dermochelys coriacea (leatherback sea turtle)
Lineage: Eukaryota; Metazoa; Chordata; Testudines; Dermochelyidae
Exons: 4
Source: RefSeq, a predicted model, not a curated record
GGGGGAGUCUCAUUCUAGCCUGGAGUGGAAAGGCCUAGCUGCCUGGGAGUAAGGUACCUGAGAUGAAGCAGUGCUGGGGAAGGGCAAAGGGAGGUCCCGCCUGCCCCUGUUAAGCAGAAGGAGGAAGCCUUCUAGGAAAAGGGACUGAGUAGAAAAUAAGGACCAACCAGAGAGAAGUGGCCAGUUGGCAUGAAUUGCAACCCAGUUUUGGGAGGAGCCCUGUGGAUUCCUGAUCUCAAGAAGGAAAGACGUCCUGUAUUUUAUCCAGCCCUGGGAGGUGGGCUAUAGACUCCUUAUCCAAGGAGGUGUGGAGGAAGAGAGACUGCUUUACUCUAACCCAGCCCUAAGACAAGUGCUAUAGAUUACUGAUUCAAAGAGGGAAACUGCAUCUAUCUUAACCCUGCUCUGAGAGGGGAUUGUGGACUCCUGAUGCAAGAGGAAAGAGGCUGAUUGAAUUGUGACUCUUCCUCAAGAGGAAGGCUAUGGACUGCUGACCCUAAAAGAGGGAAUUAUUGGAUUUGGUACCCACGCCACUCCUGGAAGGAAGGCUUUUGUCUCACUCUUUGGGAGCCAAGAGUCUAGAGUUACAAACCAGCAAGGAAGCCUACCCAAACCUUCACACCAACCCCAGAGGGUGUUGGACCAAAACAAAGCUGAAGAAGAUGGAAAUUGAGACAGGGUGCCUGCUGAACUACCUCAGGACACAAGAAGAUGUACUGGAGGUGAUAACCCUACAAUACCCACCCUAAUAGCCUGAUUUUCAGAGAUGCUGAGAAUCUUCAGCUCCUGUUGACUUUGGUGGCAGUUAAGAAUGUUCAGGUUCUAUGAAAAUAAGGCCACUGAUGACUUGCACAACAUCACAUAGUGAAUCAGUGUCUGAGGCAAGAACAAGAAACCAGUUCUUCAGUGAUUACCAGUGAGACUAAAUGAAUUCCUGCAUUCACAUCCUACACACUAUUAAAAGAAACCUCAACAAAAUAGGAAGAGCUACAUGACUCCCUUGGCAAAUGCAAAGGAAAAUUACAUUCCCAUUAAAAAGAAUAGAAAGAUCAGCACAAAGAAAGGAAAGGAGAGACAAGAAGCAUAAGAAAUGCAUCCUCAACAAAGUCUGGAGACAAGCUACAAGGUGGAUGUUGCACACAUAAUCAUUUGAAAAUGAAUGGACCUCUUGUGGAUUAUACACUCAAACAGCGUUCCAAAUGUCAAGUGUUAGGUUGCCUAAUAAGUCUUCAAAAAAUGCCUUGGGGAGGCCAUUACCCUUCUAGUCUUUGAAAGGACACUAUAAAAUGGAACUAUUAGACUAUUCCUUUGGGGUUCCACACUGAAGACUGAUAACUGGCAAGUCAGGAGUCUAGGCCAAAUAUAUUUUAUUAGGUGAAAGUAGGAAUAGAGCUUCUACCAGGAAUGGCACAGACCCUCAAGUGGGGAAGAAAGAGGCACUGUUGGGGAUCUUUUAUUUUUCUCCUUGAAUAAAAGACUGAGCUCCCUAGAACAAGGAGAGAAAAAUCUUGCUAGCACCAACCAAUAUUCCUGGACAAAUUUUCUAACCCCAGAACACUGAGAGAGCCAGCCAGGUGCUUUGGGACAGGAAGUGUCCCUUAAUUAUAUUUGCACAGUGCCCAGCACAAUGGAGCCCCCAAUCCUGAUUGGGGUCUUUGGAAGCUACCAUAAUAUAAAUCUUCUGUGACAUGGAAGAUCUACAAUGGAGAACGUGGUCUGAAGUUUAAUACUGUAACCCAUUCUCUCUGCCAUGGUGGCCUCUGGGUUCUUGUCAGAAGUACCCCAGGUUAGAGUAUGGCAUUGGCCUCACUCCACAGCAAGAUCUCGGGACGGAUCAGGAGAAGUGCAGAUGUGCACUAAGAAGACUUCCAUUAGAUCCACCUCAGUGGAAGGACGGAUGUUCACUUCAGUUUGGGGAUGUUGAUGAAAGAAAGAAUAAGGAGACUCUCCCUUCGGAAAAUCUGCUGCUCCCACUCCCUAAGACUUAUAAUAUUGCUUUGCACAUCUAUAGCCUCUGUCCUUCAAGGAUCUCAAGGUGAAUAGGAAUCAAGCCAUUCACACGCUUGUGAGAUGGAUUAAUAUUAUCCUCAUUUUAUAGAUGAGGAAAUUGGGGCACAAACAAUCAAGUGACUUCCCCACGGCCUCAGAGUCUAUGGCAGGAUUCAAAAGACUGAAUCCAUGACAGAGUGCCUAUUCGACCAUUAGAUCUCACUCCUCUGAGAAGGCAACUGAGGAUGACAUGCAGAUGUUAUCAAAUUCAUUUCAAUAAGAAGGGGAUAUAAGAGUGUAAGGCUUGCCAUUUAUGGCUCCAACUGUCAGGUAGCUCAAUCAAUACUUCCAUUAUCUAAAAGGGAAAAUAAAACCAUGACUGAGCCAUUUUCCAUCAUUCCGAGUUACUCUUUUGUGCUAUUGACCGUGAAGCACCUGUCUUGGAGGUUCAGUACUUGGGAAAUGGAACAAACAACUUUUGUAAAGCUGUAGCUGUAGUUGUUCAAAACUUCAAAUUAUUAUACCAAGUUCUACAUGGGACCCCUCAAUGGUCUCUGCAAAAAAAAGUACUGACUGUACUUUUUUCAAAUCUGAAUUUGCUCUUUGUAUAUCAUUACUUC